AGUGAACGCUGGCGGUAGGCCUAAUACAUGCAAGUCGAACGGAAGCACGGUAAGCUUUCGCCUCUACGGGUGGCGGGGGGCGGGCGGGUGACGCAUACAUCGGCUUCUUCUUAUACGUGGGUGACAACGGGAGGCCACUUAUGAUACUACAGAAUAUGUUCUACCGGUGGAUGCAAGGGUUAUAGGGACCUUUCGCGUCUGUUUGAGAUGAAUCCGGGCCGGAUUAGCUAGUUGGUAAGGUAACGGCCUACCAAGGCGACGAUGCGUAGCUGAGCUGAGAGGGUGAUCGGCCACACUGGAACUGAGACACGGUCCAGACUCCUACGGGAGGCAGCAGUGGGGAAUAUUGGACAAUGGGCGCAAGCCUGACCGAGCCAUGCCGCGUGAGUGAAGAAGGCCUUCGGAUUGUAAAACCCUGUUAUUAGGAAAGAAAAACUGUGUAAGAAAACCCCCCCGUUCUGACGGUACCCAAACAAAAAGCACCGGCUAACUACGUG
This 497-nucleotide ribosomal RNA is filed under the name uncultured bacterium. RNAcentral describes it as "partial 16S ribosomal RNA". It matches the Rfam family "Bacterial small subunit ribosomal RNA", at positions 29 to 507 of the family's 1533-position model. The record is from RNAcentral.